AGAGUUUGAUCAUGGCUCAGAACGUACGCUGGCGGCACGCCUAACACAUGCAAGUCGAACGAAGUAGCAAUACUUAGUGGCAGACGGGUGAGUAACAUGUAGGUAUCUACCCUUUGGCCUGGAAUAACACGAGGAAACUUGUGCUAAUACCGGAUAAGUCUUUACGGAGAAAGCUUUAUGCACCAUUGGAUGAGCCUGCACUUGAUUAGUUUGUUGGUGGGGUAAUGGCCUACCAAGACUGUGAUCAAUAGCUGAUUUGAGAGGAUGAUCAGCCACAUUGGGACUGAGACACGGCCCAAACUCCUACGGGAGGCAGCAGUGGGGAAUCUUGCACAAUGGAGGAAACUCUGAUGCAGCGAUGCCGCGUGAGUGAAGAAGGCCCUUGGGUUGUAAAGCUCUUUCGUCGGGGAAGAAAAUGACUGUACCCGAAUAAGAAGGUCCGGCUAACUUCGUGCCAGCAGCCGCGGUAAUACGAAGGGACCUAGCGUAGUUCGGAAUUACUGGGCUUAAAGAGUUCGUAGGUGGUUGAAAAAGUUAGUGGGUGAAAUCCCAGAGCUUAACUCUGGAACUGCCAUUAAAACUUUUCAGCUAGAGUAUGAUAGAGGAAAGCAGAAUUUCUAGUGUAGAGGUGAAAUUCGUAGAUAUUAGAAAGAAUACCAAUUGCGAAGGCAGCUUUCUGGAUCAUUACUGACACUGAGGAACGAAAGCAUGGGUAGCGAAGAGGAUUAGAUACCCUCGUAGUCCAUGCCGUAAACGAUGUGUGUUAGACGUUGGAAAUUUAUUUUCAGUGUCGCAGCGAAAGCGAUAAACACACCGCCUGGGGAGUACGACCGCAAGGUUAAAACUCAAAUGAAUUGACGGGGACCCGCACAAGUAGUGGAGCAUGUGGUUUAAUUCGAAGAUACGCGCAGAACCUUACCAACACUUGACAUGUUCGUCGCGACUCUAAGAGAUUAGAGUUUUCGGUUCGGCCGGACGAAACACAGGUGCUGCAUGGCUGUCGUCAGCUCGUGUCGUGAGAUGUUGGGUUAAGUCCCGCAACGAGCGCAACCCUCACUUUUAGUUGCCAUCAUUAAGUUGGGCACUCUGAAAGAACUGCCAGUGAUAAGCUGGAGGAAGGUGGGGAUGACGUCAAGUCCUCAUGGCCCUUACGUGUUGGGCUACACACGUGCUACAAUGGUAUCUACAACAGGAAGCAAGACUGCGAGGUCAAGCAAAUCCUUAAAAGAUACCUCAGUUCGGAUUGCACUCUGCAACUCGAGUGCAUGAAGCUGGAAUUACUAGUAAUCGUGGAUCAGCGUGCCACGGUGAAUGCGUUCCCGGGUCUUGUACACACCGCCCGUCACACCAUGGGAGUUGGUUCUACCUUAAGGCAAGGUUUAAAACCCUUGACCACGGUAUAGUCAGCGACUGGGGUGAAGUCGUAACAAGGUAGCCGUA
RNAcentral lists this ribosomal RNA (1440 nucleotides) under uncultured bacterium. RNAcentral describes it as "bacterial SSU rRNA". It matches the Rfam family "Bacterial small subunit ribosomal RNA". The record is from RNAcentral.